This 576-nucleotide long non-coding RNA is filed under the name Homo sapiens (human). RNAcentral's name for it is "HSALNT0290077". The record is from RNAcentral. Lineage: Eukaryota; Metazoa; Chordata; Mammalia; Primates; Hominidae.
UGGAAAGCAAACCUCUCUGCAGCCACGGGACCCCCAACAGCAGCCUCACAGAGCCUGCCCCGGCCACCCUAGUCUGGGCUAACUGUCCUGCCUUCUCCUCCAAGAUUCCCUUGCCUGGGUCCCUCCUCCCUCGGCCUCACCACACUCCUCUGGGGACCCUGUGCUUGGACUCCACCCUUUCCUGUCCAGACCACUGUGAAGGCCUUUAGUCACCUCCUAGAGAAGCAAGAUUUUCAGCCCUGGCUUUCUACCCCCACACCCUACAGGACGUUUGAAAUCAGGAAGGAGUGUGGGUUGGAUCCACGUUUCUGUUCAUACCAGGCAGGCACAUCGGAAGGCUCACGGUCAGAGGAUGCUGGGACAAACGCCACGAGAGGUUCCUUUUUGUCUGGCUCACCCAGAAGAGAGGCUCCUCUCCUCCCUUCCCUGCAGCACAACGGCCUGGCUGGCACCCAAAGGGCAGCCGGCAUGGGCUGACCUCAGAGGAGCAAGGCGUGUUUGCAGCUCUGCCGCUCACAUCCACAGUGGCCAUGACAACAGGUGCAGCACCAUCCAUUAAAGCCCUGUGUCAUUUCA